RNAcentral lists this long non-coding RNA (668 nucleotides) under Mytilus galloprovincialis (Mediterranean mussel). Lineage: Eukaryota; Metazoa; Mollusca; Bivalvia; Mytilida; Mytilidae. The record is from RNAcentral.
UGUGUGUGCAAUCUUUUAAUUAAAAUGUACUUAAAAAGAUUUUAAAUACUUCAGUGUUUCAAACAGAUGUGCAAAGGUCAAUACUUUUACACCUCAAUUAAAACAAUAUCCAUGUGUAUCUGGCUCUAAGCAAUUCGCAGUCAUCAACACAAUUAGUCAACUUUAUUUUACAUGCAGAUUAAACCCACUUAAGUUUACAAAUGUAUACACAAAAGUUUUAAAAACCUGAAACAAAACCACAUUAACAAGAUGCUCCGCAGGGCGCAGCUUUAUACGACCGCAGAGGUUGAACCCUGAACGGUUGGGGCAAGUAUGGACACAACAUUCAAGCUGGAUUCAGCUCUAAAUUUGGAUUGUGAUUAAAUAGUUGACACAGCAUAGGUUUCUGACACAGAAUGAAUGUGGUCUAAUGAACUUAAAAAAAAAUGUUUGCCUUUGAGCAAUUCACUAUGCUGUUGAAUAUUAAUCCUCUCAAAAAAAUGUUUGAAGAAAUUUUCUUUUUAUUUAUGAAAUCUGAAAUGAAAAAAAUUGACCCUCCAAUUUUUUUUUUUUCACAUCCCCCUUUCCCUUAUUUCAAAACUGAUCUCAAUUCAAAUUUCUAAUGAAGUUUGCAACAAUAACUACUCAUUUAAAUACAUCAUAAAAUAUUAAAAUGUAAAAAAGUGCUU